Long non-coding RNA from Solea senegalensis (Senegalese sole), 432 nucleotides. RefSeq lists it as uncharacterized. The transcript is spliced from 3 exons. The record is from RefSeq and is a predicted model, not a curated record. Lineage: Eukaryota; Metazoa; Chordata; Actinopteri; Pleuronectiformes; Soleidae.
CACAAUAAGUAAAGGUGGACCAGUGGUUGGAGCGUCCAGUGUGUUCAUGUCAACUUCACUCUUCAUAGAUUAUCCCUGAAGAAUCACGUCCGUCUCAUAGUCCACAUGUUGGUCAUCGUUGUUUAGGUCAUUCCUCUGCAGUCAAGGAGAUUCUCUUUGGUGAUUGUAGAAAAAUAAGACAUUCAGGCGGUGUUAUUCUAAACUGAUUUAGAUCAAUUCAAGCUUCUUCUCUGCAAAGAAUGUAUUUCUUUAUUUGAUACCAAACAUUUUUAUAUAUUAUCAAAAAACAAACUUCUGCUGACUUGAAAAUGCCCAGACAAGAUCCAUUAUCAUGGUGGCUGCUGUGCACCAGUAUUGACCCAGUGCUGUAUCGAACCCUACAUCUCCGGCAAGGCAGUUAGAAGACUCAAAAGAAGUAUUGAUUGAUAAUAG